Molecule: long non-coding RNA, 4065 nt
Organism: Astatotilapia calliptera (eastern happy)
Lineage: Eukaryota; Metazoa; Chordata; Actinopteri; Cichliformes; Cichlidae
Source: Ensembl
UUUUGCCAAGGACAAGCAAUUGUGUUGCGGUGCAAGUGAUAAUAAGAAGAUUCUGGUGAGAAAUUCCAGUUUCCACCGGUGCUGCGGGCACAACCAGUAUGAUAACAGGACUCAGUGCUGCUGUGAGAAUGAAGGUGUUCUGGAGGUACAACCGAAGGAUUCAUCUUGCUGUGACAAGAGCUCCACUACAGUAUCUGAUUCGUUUUCACAGGAGUGCAUAAUGUAGGAAUUCUGCAUUGUGGUCCGAAUGAUAAUAAGAAGAGUCUGGUGAAGAAUUCCACUUUCCACCAGUGCUGCGGUCACAACCAGUAUGACAACAGGACUCAGUGCUGCUGUGUGAAUGAAGGUGUUCUGGAGGUACAACCGAAGCAUUCAUCUUGCUGUGACAAGAGCUCCACUACAGGAGUGCAUAAUGUAGGAAUUCUGCAUUGUGGUCCGAAUGAUAAUAAGAAGAGUCUGGUGAGAAAUUCCACUUUCCACCGGUGCUGCGGUCACCACCAGUAUGACAACAGGACUCAGUGCUGCUGUGAGAAUGAAGGUGUUCUGGAGGUACAACCGAAGCAUUCAUCUUGCUGUGACAAGAGCUCCACUACAGGAGUGCAUAAUGUAGGAAUUCUGCAUUGUGGUCCGAAUGAUAAUAAGAAGAGUCUGGUGAAGAAUUCCACUUUCCACCAGUGCUGCGGUCACCACCAGUAUGACAACAGGACUCAGUGCUGCUGUGAGAAUGAAGGUGUUCUGGAGGUACAACCGAAGCAUUCAUCUUGCUGUGACAAGAGCUCCACUACAGGAGUGCAAAAUGUGGGAAUUCUGCAUUGUGGUCCGAAUGAUAAUAAGAAGAGUCUGGUGAGGAAUUCCACUUUCCACCAGUGCUGCGGUCACCACCAGUAUGACAACAGGACUCAGUGCUGCUGUGAGAAUGAAGGUUUUCUGGAGGUACAACCGAAGCAUUCAUCUUGCUGUGCAAAGGAGUCAGCUAACCCUGAAGGUUUUCAACAACUGACACAUGAGCUCCAACACUUUUGCACUGAACCAAACACACAUCUCUGUGGGUCGACAUGUUACAAUCCAAAGACGCAUCGUUGCUGUGAGAGACACCAAAAGCCUUUUUGGUUCUGCGCCUCAGUUUUAUGGCAGCCCGGGACAACACUGCUGUGGGACGGAAAUUUACCGGCCUCGUACUGAGAUCUGCUGCAAUGGACACAGACACCCCAAAUCAGAAAACCUUCACUGCUGUGGGGUCAAAGCCUACAACAUUAAAGACCCACAGAUGAAGUGCUGUGCAGGAACACUGUACAAUCUGACAUCAUUAGACAAGCAUGGAGGGGACGCUCAGUGCUGCGGAUCCAUCCUGCAAAAGCCACAGGAUAUUUGCUGCUCAAGCCAGGAAAAAGAGGUGCUUUACUCUGUCAAGACAGGAUUUGGAUGCUGUGGUCACCUCUAUUACAACACCAGCCUGUGCUCAUGCUGUGCGGAGAGGCUGAGAAGAAUCCAUGAACCAGGAAAGGAUCAGAGAAACAUGAUGCAUGGAUCCAGACUUCUAUCUUUGAAUAAUCUAAACACAAGUGAUCUCUGCAAAGAAAUGUACAUUGGGACUGUGGAAAGUGUGUCUGUGAAGAGCGUUGUGUUCAGGAAUGUGCUAUGGGUUCAUGGGAAAUAUUCCAACGUGACAGCUCUGCCUUUGCAUCACAUCUUGGACAUAGAUGAUCACUGCAAAUCACCUAAACUGUUUCUUGGGAAGACCUACAUCUUUAACAACGUUAAUAUUUUCACUGAUUUCAACCAUGACUCUGUUCUUCAGUCGCUCCAUUUCAUUUUUUAUAAAUGUUCAUCUUAGAUCACCACUGUCUGAUCUAUGUAUGGUCAGUUAUUAGCUAUUCCCUUGUUUUUGUCUUAGAACAAGUAAUUAAUUUUUAUUUACUCAGUGCUGGUUUUCUUACUCUAAAAUAGUGCUACACUAAGAGUAAUGCAUAGGGGUUUUUUAUCCUCAGAAGAAUGUACUGUUAAAGUACUCAUUACAGGGAUGUUCUCUUACAUGGUCUAUUAACAAUAUAACACUGAACCUUAGAAAUGCCCAUUAAUUUGUAAAACUCUACCCUAAAAGGAAAGACCAUUGAAGCUUAACAUUUGGGCACUUUGCUGGUGUAAGCAUAAAAUCAAAGAACCAGCCAUAUUUCUAUCACACAUUUUAUUUUUACAUUAGUUAUUGUUGUGCAAGCACACAUGAAAAUGUUUUAAAAUGUGAUCUUUUUAAUCUUUUUGUUACCUAAAUAAUUGAAGAACAUGUAACUCAAUUGAAUUAAUUCAUUAACUGAAAUAUGUUUACUCAAUAAUGCAUUAUAGAAAAAAUUAACUUGAUUAGGGAUUGCAUUACUUUUCAACUGUUUAAAUUUAAAAAAUCCAGAAUUAGUUAUUAGUGAUAUUACUUACAAGUUGCUAUCAGUAAUGCAUUAAAUGUUCAACGCUCAUUUCCAUCCAAACCAUGUUGCUCUGUUUUUGAACGCAUCCCAAAAUGUGUGCUCGGUAAUUACUACUGUUACACAGCUAAUUAGUGCACAGUGUUGUUAACUUAUACAUGCAGUAAUGCAAUAUGACCAUUAUCUUUCAAAGUCUUAAAAAGCUAAAGUAGUAACUAGGAUAUCCAAGCUAGUGUUGGUUUGAAAUUAACAGUAGCUAACACCUUAGCUAUCAGUGUAACAGGAAGCAAGGCAUGCAAGAAUGUUAGCAUACAGCUUAACGGUCACAUAAGCUAAACUGCUAUCAGCUAAUAUUGUUUGUCAUUUGAAAUUUUUGUGACUGUUAUUUCUAUGCCUCUUUUUUGCACUGAACUAAAUUGUAAAUGGCAACUAUUUGCACUUUUUGAACCAUACAAUUGAAUGUAUAAAUGUACUGUAAAGCAUGAUUUAUUUGAAAGAUAAAGCUUGUAACUGUCAAAUGGUUAGUUGACAAUACCAUUAUUAUAAGCACCCCAGUUCUCACUGAUCCCUCUAAAAAUGCAAUAUUUCUGUUUCUUUGUAAGUACCUACUUUUAAUCACCUUGACCCAAGUUAUUUUUAUAUAUGUGACUUUCGGGAAGAUGUUUGGCAUUUAUUGUACUGUGUCUUUACUAAAUUGGUAAGAACAUACCUUUAAGCUACUAACAGGACAAGCUCAUGAUAUACAGUAUAUAUAUUAUAUAUUAUAUUGCAUGUUUAUAUUUAAUAUUUAAUAGCACCUCCUGUAUUAUUAAGUUUUAAAUAAAUAAGAAGAUAAGAAUAAUUGAAUGUGUGUGUGAUUUUUUUUAUUACUUUUAUUACUUAUUAUUUUAUUUAUUACUUUAUUACUUUUUAUUACAUAACAAUUUAUUGGACUAUAUAUACAUAACUAUUACUACAUUUUAUAUACACAUUGUUUAUUUGUAUAUUUGUAGAUAUUCAACAGAAUUAGAUAAUAAAUCAAUACUCUGUGCUUAUUUUUCUUACUUUACUUUACGGAUACCCAUAUGGAUACCACAUACCCAAAACAUACUAGGGAGUGCAUAAUUUUUUCAUUUUUUGGUUUGUUUGUUUUUUUUGCUCUUUUUAAAAUUCUUUAUAAAACACAAUGUCAUCGGAUUUGAUUUAAGGUCCAGAUUUUUCCUUGGGAUUUAAUGUUGCAGUCACAUGCUGCUGUUCAACCAUUUAGAAACAUCUCAUUAUAUUUAAUACAUUACACUGGGUUAUAUGUUGUAGAUGUAGAUCUUGUGGCUCGAGCAUGCUCCCCUCCAGCUACAGGACUUUACAGGACUACCUGGAGACCUUCACUCUGUCUGUCCUUUUCUACUCUAAGUGGUGUGUAGUGAAUGUGACAGUGACCAAAACCACCUGAGUUCUUCCUAACCGGAAACCCUGGAAGACGAAUGAAGAACAGGCUCUGAUCAGAACUCGAAACACAGCCUUCAGGCUGGGGGACAGUUCUCUGGAGAGCACUGCCAGAGCCAACCCGAGGAGGGGCAUCAAACAAGCCAAGGAGACCUCCAGGAGAAGGAUUAAGGGCUUCCAGACAGACAACCACCGCCAAGUGUAGAGAGGCAGUCAAGCCCUCACCAAC